Tripterygium wilfordii is the source of this 1388-nucleotide long non-coding RNA. RefSeq lists it as uncharacterized. The record is from RefSeq and is a predicted model, not a curated record. NCBI's taxonomy places the organism in Eukaryota, Viridiplantae, Streptophyta, Magnoliopsida, Celastrales, Celastraceae. The transcript has 2 exons.
GAGGAAGCUUGGGUGACUGUCAGAAAUAUUGAAAGUUUAAGGGCCAAAGUGAAUAUCCUGCUUCUUCAAUUUAUUCAACUGGGUUAGGGUUCAGGCCGUGCCUCGAGCAUUGGUUGCCGUCGGCGAUACGGAGGGCAGAAGCAAUGUCGAAGAACAGUAUGAAUUUGAUCUUCAGAGUAAUCAGAAACCUUUAUCAAUUUAUAUUGGUGGAUUUUCGUAGUCGUAAUACGAGACAAGCAAGAAAAGGAAAAGAAACAGAAGAAGCUUCAAGCAAAGAAGAAUAAGAUGAAAUGAGCCUCCUUUCUGUCUUUGUUUUUUAGUUUUCUUCGUGGUAUCUCAUGUGUGAAGAAUAUAUAAGCAUGCGUUUGAUUGGUAAGGCAAUCUGGAUAAUAGGUAAGCAUGUAUUUGAUUGCUGGGAAAAUCAGGAAAUAAGAAAUGCAUUUGGACUUUGAAUAUUGUGUUUUUAGUUGAUUUUUAAGUGCUUGAAUUCUCAUUUUUCAAGUUAGAAGAUUUCAGCGCACUGAGUUGUCUUACACCUUCAUCUGGUUUGUAGUUCGUCAUUGCUUAUUUUUCAAAUGCUUAUGCUUAUUUCAGAGUAAGAACAAAUAUAAACUUGAGCAAAAAGGAGCACAACCUGGUUCAGACAGUGAUGCCAAACCAGCCCCUUGUUAAGUUCUAUUUUUGUAGCUUGGGGAAGGAGAAUUGAUGGGAAGUAUAUUUUUGAUUUGACCCCUUGACGUCGAGGUUAAAAUGAAGGAAUCUUGCCAUUGUUUCAAGACUUUCCCUCUUCUUAUUGUGGUGUGAAGCAAUGCCGAAUUUAUUUUUUUUGAAUUCUAGAUUCUUUAUUUUCGUCUGGUUUAUGGAACAAGUAGCAGCAGAUGUUAAUUCGUAUUAGUUUCUUUGUUACGUGAUCUUCAUUUCUUAAAUUUGUUUUGAUAUAGUUUCUAUAAGGAGAUUUUGUAACAAGCUCUUCCUUCUGUUUUCUUGCCCAAUCUAGCUCGUUAUCUGGCUGGUUAAUUUUUUUUUGGCUGUCUAAUCAGGUUGACGGUAGUGACAAUAAAAAGAAAGGUGCAAGUGGGUUUCAAAUAAGGAAGAGAAAACUGAAGACCAACUUGAUGCCAUUGGCGAAAGCUAAGGCCACCCAGGCCAUGGAGGUUGACAAAUGAGGUUGUAUAUUUGACAUUUUCGGUUCUUUUGUAGAAGUUAAGUGUUUUCAAAGCAGAGAGGACUAAAUACUGGAACUGGAUGAACAUUAUGUAUUCAGCUCUGUGAUUCCCAAUUUUGAGAGGAAGUCUAUAAUCAUUUUGUCUUCACUACGUACCCUUUUGUUUAAUGUAAUGUGCUUCUGGAGAUCAUUUAAUGCAUCAGCUGGUAAAUAUUGGACUAUU